Molecule: ribosomal RNA, 327 nt
Filed under: uncultured eukaryote
Lineage: Eukaryota
Description: partial 18S ribosomal RNA
Rfam family: Eukaryotic small subunit ribosomal RNA
Source: RNAcentral
CCCUUAGAUGGUCUGGGCCGCACGCGCGCUACACUGACGAAUGCAACGAGCUUAUAACCUUGGCCGAAAGGUCUGGGUAAUCUCCAAAUUUCGUCGUGAUGGGGAUAGAUUAUUGCAAUUAUUAAUCUUCAACGAGGAAUGCCUAGUAAGCGCAAGUCAUCAGCUUGCGUUGAUUACGUCCCUGCCCUUUGUACACACCGCCCGUCGCUCCUACCGAUUGAAUGGUCCGGUGAAGCGUUCGGACCGUGGCCUUUGGACGGUUCGCCGUCUGUUGGCUGCGGGAAGUUCGUUAAACCUUNUNAUUUAANGGAAGGAGAANUCGUANCA